RNAcentral lists this ribosomal RNA (477 nucleotides) under uncultured bacterium. RNAcentral's name for it is "partial 16S ribosomal RNA". It matches the Rfam family "Bacterial small subunit ribosomal RNA", at positions 28 to 523 of the family's 1533-position model. The record is from RNAcentral.
GACGAACGCUGGCGGCAUGCCUAACACAUGCAAGUCGAGCGAGUAGAUCCCUUCGGGGUGAAGCUAGCGGCGGACGGGUGAGUAACACGUGGGCAACCUGCCUCAUAGAGGGGAAUAGCCUUCCGAAAGGAAGAUUAAUACCGCAUAAGAUUGUAGUACCGCAUGGUAUAGCAAUUAAAGGAGCAAUCCGCUAUAAGAUGGGCCCGCGGCGCAUUAGCUAGUUGGUGAGGUAACGGCUCACCAAGGCGAAGAUGCGUAGCCGACCUGAGAGGGUGAUCGGCCACAUUGGGACUGAGACACGGCCCCGACUCCUACGGGAGGCAGCAGUGGGGAAUAUUGCACAAUGGGGGAAACCCUGAUGCAGCAAUGCCGCGUGAGUGAUGACGGCCUUCGGGUUGUAAAGCUCUGUCUUCGGGGACGAUAAUGACGGUACCCGAGGAGGAAGCCACGGCUAACUACAUGCCAGCAGCGCCGUAA